This 333-nucleotide unclassified non-coding RNA is filed under the name uncultured fungus. Its description in RNAcentral is "sequence contains ITS1". The stretch from base 1 to 104 matches the Rfam family "5.8S ribosomal RNA", at positions 50 to 154 of the family's 154-position model. Lineage: Eukaryota; Fungi. The record is from RNAcentral.
AAAGUGCGAUAACUUAGGUGAACUGCAACUGGCGCGAUUCCUUAAAAUUUUGAACGCAUACUGUGCCCCGACUUAACAGUCGGGGCGUGUUUGUUUGAGCGUCUAAUACAAAACAACACUGCUCCGGCACGUGAUCGUGGACCUUGCGAUUCGCUUCGCAUCGUUUUAAAUUCAUGGCAACAAUGUCGCAGGCGUAAACCGCAUCGGCUUCGUUCGUCGUAUGUUAAGGAUAUCAUCCAUUUCUGCGGCACGGGACUUUUGCGAUCGUCGGACAGGGCCCUAUUUAAUCACUUUCUAGACCUCAAAUCAAGCACGAUUACCCGCUGAAUUUAA